Molecule: long non-coding RNA, 384 nt
Organism: Mangifera indica (mango)
Lineage: Eukaryota; Viridiplantae; Streptophyta; Magnoliopsida; Sapindales; Anacardiaceae
Exons: 2
Source: RefSeq, a predicted model, not a curated record
UGUGGACAAGCUUCACGGAGAUAAUCAGUAUUUUUGCGAAUCAUGUAGAACAACAGUUGAUGCUACUGGGAGCAUCAACCUUCAUUCUCUCCUUGAAAUUCUUAUUUUUCAGAUCAAGCAUUGUGUUUUCCUCAUGAAGAAGAAAAUGGUGAAAAUGGAGGAGUAGAGACCAGCCUCUCAAAUGCUAGAAGGGAGACAUUUGAAGUGUUUCUGGAAUUAGUUCUAUUUUCUGAGUUGUGUUCUUAUUUUCUGGAUUAUAUUUUGUGUCAAUAAUCCUAGAUAAAAUGAUUUAUUUGGAUUUUAUUUGAAAACUAAAUAAAUCAAUGUGUGUUUCUCUUAUUAUAUUCAAACAAGACUCAAAAGAUGGAACUCUCAAUUUUUGCA